AUGCAUGCAGCAGCACUGUGCAGAGUUGAACCGUUCCGGACAUGGUCACCGUGUCCCCAAGACCGGGCAUCCCGUGUCCAGACUCCAGACACGGAUCGAUCAGGCGCAACGAUCCGCCGGAGACCGUAUCCCAUGACCACUUUUUCUUCUCCGUUGAUGGAUCCCCUUGCCUUGGCCCUCAAGGAGACACCAUGCAGUUUUGUUCCUCCCAAGUGGCAAGUGAUGAGUCAAUGUGCUCGCAAUCAAGCGACCACGGCCGGAACCGGAAGUGCGCGAGGACUCCGGCGGGUCGUUGCCGCGCCCCACCAACACGACGAUACGUCCCUCUCGGCCUCCGGGUCUCCACGCGCGUACACCGGGCAUUCUCCGCAGCUUCGCCGGUCGCCACUCCACUUCCCGCUGAAAACAGCCCGACCCAGACUUCUGCCUAUAAAUCCACCCGUUCCCCUGCCGAGAGUCACUCCCCUGUCUCCCAGAUUACACCGCGCUCUCUUCCUCCCUUGCACAUAA
RNAcentral lists this ribosomal RNA (510 nucleotides) under Triticum aestivum (bread wheat). RNAcentral's name for it is "partial small subunit ribosomal RNA". The record is from RNAcentral. Lineage: Eukaryota; Viridiplantae; Streptophyta; Magnoliopsida; Poales; Poaceae.